RNAcentral lists this ribosomal RNA (773 nucleotides) under uncultured Alphaproteobacteria bacterium. RNAcentral describes it as "bacterial SSU rRNA". It matches the Rfam family "Bacterial small subunit ribosomal RNA", at positions 8 to 820 of the family's 1533-position model. Lineage: Bacteria; Pseudomonadati; Pseudomonadota; Alphaproteobacteria. The record is from RNAcentral.
AGAGUUUGAUCCUGGCUCAGAACGAACGCUGGCGGCAGGCCUAACACWMGMWAGUCGAGCGAGAAGCUAACUUCGGUUAGUGGACAGCGGCGCACGGGUGGGUAACGCGUGGGAAUUUACCUUUCGGCGGGGGACAACAGUUGGAAACGACUGCUAAUACCGCAUACGCCCUACGGGGGAAAGAUUUAUCACCGAAAGAUAGGCCCGCGUUAGAUUAGGUAGUUGGUAGGGUCAAAGCCUACCAAGCCGACGAUCUAUAGCUGGUUUGAGAGAACGAUCAGCCACACUGGAACUGAGACACGGUCCAGACUCCUACGGGAGGCAGCAGUGGGGAAUCUUGCACAAUGGGCGAAAGCCUGAUGCAGCCAUGCCGCGUGGGUGCUAAGGCCUUCGGGUUGUAAAACUCUUUUAGAUGUGAAGAUGAUGACGGUAACAUCAGAAAAAGCACCGGCUAACUUCGUGCCAGCAGCCGCGGUAAUACGAAGGGUGCUAGCGUUGUUCGGAAUUACUGGGCGUAAAGAGCGUGUAGGCGGCUUAGCAAGUUAGAGGUGAAAUCCCAGGGCUCAACCCUGGAACUGCCUUUGAUACUGCUAAGCUUGAGAUCGUGAGGGGAUAGCGGAAUACCCAGUGUAGAGGUGAAAUUCGUAGAUAUUGGGUAGAACACCGGUGGCGAAGGCGGCUAUCUGGCACGAUACUGACGCUGAGACGCGAAAGCGUGGGAGCAAACAGGAUUAGAUACCCGGUAGUCCACGCCGUAAACGAUGUGCACAGCC